Molecule: ribosomal RNA, 428 nt
Filed under: uncultured prokaryote
Description: bacterial SSU rRNA
Rfam family: Bacterial small subunit ribosomal RNA
Source: RNAcentral
UGAGGAAUAUUGCGCAAUGGGGGCAACCCUGACGCAGCAACGCCGCGUGAGUGAGGAAGGUUUUCGGAUCGUAAAGCUCUGUCGAGUGGGAAGAAAUGUAUCAUGGCUAAUAUCCAUGGUAUUUGACGGUACCGCUAAAGGAAGCACCGGCUAACUCCGUGCCAGCAGCCGCGGUAAUACGGGGGGUGCAAGCGUUGUUCGGAAUUAUUGGGCGUAAAGAGCGUGUAGGCGGCUGAAUAAGUCAGAUGUGAAAUCCCUGGGCUUAACUCAGGAAGUGCAUUUGAAACUAUUCAGCUUGAGUAGGGGAGAGGAAAGUGGAAUUCCUGGUGUAGAGGUGAAAUUCGUAGAUAUCAGGAGGAACACCGGUGGCGAAGGCGACUUUCUGGCCCUAUACUGACGCUGAGACGCGAGAGCGUGGGUAGCAAACA